This 985-nucleotide ribosomal RNA is filed under the name Lactiplantibacillus plantarum. RNAcentral's name for it is "bacterial SSU rRNA". It matches the Rfam family "Bacterial small subunit ribosomal RNA", at positions 537 to 1533 of the family's 1533-position model. The record is from RNAcentral. Lineage: Bacteria; Bacillati; Bacillota; Bacilli; Lactobacillales; Lactobacillaceae.
AGCGUUGUCCGGAUUUAUUGGGCGUAAAGCGAGCGCAGGCGGUUUUUUAAGUCGAAUGGGAAAGCCUUCGGCUCAACCGAAGAAGUGCAUCGGAAACUGGGAAACUGGAGUGCAGAAGAGGACAGUGGAACCUCCAGGGGUAGCGGGAAAAUGCGUAGAUAUAUGGAAGAACACCAGUGGCGGAAGGCGGCUGUCUGGUCUGUAACUGACCCUGAGGCUCGAAAAGUAUGGGUAGCAAACAGGAUUAGAUACCCUGGUAGUCCAUACCGUAAACCGAUGAAUGCUAAAGUGUUGGAGGGUUUCCGCCCUUCAGUGCUGCAGCUAACGCAUUAAGCAUUCCCGCCUGGGGAGUACGGCCGCAAGGGCUGAAACUCAAAGGAAUUGACGGGGGCCCGCACAAGCGGUGGAGCAUGUGGUUUAAUUAGAAGCUACGCGAAGAACCUUACCAGGUCUUGACAUACUAUGCAAAUCUAAGAGAUUAGACGUUCCCUUCGGGGACAUGGAUACAGGUGGUGCAUGGUUGUCGUCAGCUCGUGUCGUGAGAUGUUGGGUUAAGUCCCGCAACGAGCGCAACCCUUAUUAUCAGUUGCCAGCAUUAAGUUGGGCACUCUGGUGAGACUGCCGGUGACAAACCGGAGGAAGGUGGGGAUCACGUCAAAUCAUCAUGCCCCUUAUGACCUGGGCUACACACGUGCUACAAUGGAUGGUACAACGAGUUGCGAACUCGCGAGAGUAAGCUAAUCUCCUAAAGCCAUUCUCAGUUCGGAUUGUAGGCUGCAACUCGCCUACAUGAAGUCGGAAUCGCUAGUAAUCGCGGAUCAGCAUGCGCGUGAAUACGUUCCCGGGCUUGUACACACCGGCCGUCACACAUGAGAGUUGUAACACCAAAGUCGGUGGGGUAACUUUUAGGACAGCGCCUAGGGGAAGAUGAUUAGGGGGAGUCGUACAGGUAGCCGUAGGAAACCUGCGGGCCUGAUCACUCCUU